Long non-coding RNA from Acipenser ruthenus (sterlet), 429 nucleotides. RefSeq lists it as uncharacterized. The transcript has 2 exons. The record is from RefSeq and is a predicted model, not a curated record. Lineage: Eukaryota; Metazoa; Chordata; Actinopteri; Acipenseriformes; Acipenseridae.
UGUAACAAGCAGGCUGCAAAAACUGUGCCACUGACAAUAUCCUGAAGGAAAACAAACAAUAACAUCAAAACGCAAAAUGUUUCGCAAACCAAAGUUUUUACGCUCCAAAUAUCACAGGCAAGAUGGUGGAACGUCUGAUUUACAAAGAAAUUAUGGGAAAAUACAAGUGAGGAAAUUAAAGAGGGGGAUAAGGAGCCAUGAGCUGCCGCCACGGAGCAGCACAAACCCUGGAGCACUACCCUCACUGCACAGCACAGCACAGACAUGCACCACUUUCCCGGGUUGUGAAGAGCAAGAGGAUUGUAGUUGUGGAGUGUGUGUUUUGUUUGGGACUGUAAACCUGCCGUGUACCCCCCGAUACCAUCGCUGGUAGAGGGGCGGCUUUAUUAUUUGUUAUUAGUAAAGAAACACGGACGUUUGCAGUGGAAA